AAAGAUUAACCCANGCAUGUNUAAGUAUAAGCAAUCAUACUGUGAAACUGCGAAUGGCUCAUUAAAUCAGUUAUCGUUUAUUUGAUAGUACCUUUACCUGGAUAACCGUGGUAAUUCUAGAGCUAAUACAUGCUAAAAACCUCGACUUCGGAAGGGGUGUAUUUUUUAGAUAAAAAACCAAUGCCCUUCGGGGCUCCUUGGUGAUUCAUAAUAACUUAACGAAUCGCAUGGCCUUGCGCCGGCGAUGGUUCAUUCAAAUUUCUGCCCUAUCAACUUUCNAUGGNAANAUANUGGCUUACCAUGGUCU
RNAcentral lists this ribosomal RNA (307 nucleotides) under uncultured Chaetothyriales. RNAcentral describes it as "SSU rRNA". It matches the Rfam family "Eukaryotic small subunit ribosomal RNA", at positions 39 to 352 of the family's 1831-position model. The record is from RNAcentral. Lineage: Eukaryota; Fungi; Ascomycota; Eurotiomycetes; Chaetothyriales.